UGACUUACUAGCUGGUGCACUUUCAACUGAAUUUUAACUCGAAAUCUCGUUCUUUGAUCUUGUGCGAAAAUUUUGGUCUUUUGCUUUUUUAUUCCUGUUUUUUAAGCCCACAUUAUACUCGAAUUGCGUGGUAUAAUCCGUACUAAUAAAUUUAAUUGCGAUCCUGUUCAAACGAAAUUGACUAUAUGAACAUGAAGUAGAUGCCCUUGAUCAUCUACCAAGCAUCGUCUAUCCUUUGCUCUAUCUCGUGGACGAGCGUAUUUGCGGCACUAGUUGCUGUGCAAAGCCACUUCAGUUUGAACAACUAAACAGGAUGUAUAAAAAACGGAGUCUAUCUUCCGUGCUUAAUAGUUUCCAGAAUACAAGUCC
Molecule: non-coding RNA, 369 nt
Organism: Paramuricea clavata
Lineage: Eukaryota; Metazoa; Cnidaria; Anthozoa; Malacalcyonacea; Plexauridae
Source: the annotation of a GenBank genome assembly